GGUUCCAGGCAUGGGUAGCUGACGCUAAGUCGACACCUAGUAAGAACAUGCAAGGGCAUACACGGGACAGAUCUGAUGAAGGUCAUAUGAGACUGAAGCAUUAGACAUUUACAUAACGAUUGUAGAUUGUGGAUCCCCAAAAU
Long non-coding RNA from Hyla sarda, 143 nucleotides. RefSeq lists it as uncharacterized. The record is from RefSeq and is a predicted model, not a curated record. The transcript is spliced from 3 exons. NCBI's taxonomy places the organism in Eukaryota, Metazoa, Chordata, Amphibia, Anura, Hylidae.